ACGGCCACACCUAGGCGAAAACACCAGUUCCCGUCCGAUCACUGCAGUUAAGCGUCUGAGGGUCUCGUUAGUACUAUGGUUGGAGACAACAUGGGAAUCCGGGAUGCCGUAGGCU
Molecule: ribosomal RNA, 115 nt
Filed under: Schizosaccharomyces octosporus yFS286
Lineage: Eukaryota; Fungi; Ascomycota; Schizosaccharomycetes; Schizosaccharomycetales; Schizosaccharomycetaceae
Source: RNAcentral